AAAAUGGUAAACCCUGGGUUUACGUGUCCAACUUUGACUGUCCGUCUUAUAUGAAAUCUUUUUAUAAUUCGUAUUUUCAUUGUUGUUAUAUAAUAAAACAUGAUUAAUAUUUUAUGCGUGACUUGUCUUUUUAAUUUUUUUUAUAAUUUUUUCAAAUAAGACGGACGGUCAAAUAUUGGGCACGGAAACCAGGGUUUUUCUUUUU
Oryza barthii is the source of this 205-nucleotide non-coding RNA. NCBI's taxonomy places the organism in Eukaryota, Viridiplantae, Streptophyta, Magnoliopsida, Poales, Poaceae. The record is from Rfam.